This 462-nucleotide ribosomal RNA is filed under the name uncultured bacterium. Its description in RNAcentral is "partial 16S ribosomal RNA". It matches the Rfam family "Bacterial small subunit ribosomal RNA", at positions 30 to 506 of the family's 1533-position model. The record is from RNAcentral.
CGAACGCUGGCGGCGUGCUUACCACAUGCAAGUCGAACGGAAAGGCCCUGCUUGCAGGGUACUCGAGUGGCGAACGGGUGAGUAACACGUGGGUGAUCUGCCCUGCACUUCGGGAUAAGCCUGGGAAACUGGGUCUAAUACCGGAUAGGAGCCAUUUUUAGUGUGAUGGUUGGAAAGUUUUUUCGGUGUAGGAUGAGCUCGCGGCCUAUCAGCUUGUUGGUGGGGUAAUGGCCUACCAAGGCGGCGACGGGUAGCCGGCCUGAGAGGGUGGACGGCCACAUUGGGACUGAGAUACGGCCCAGACUCCUACGGGAGGCAGCAGUGGGGAAUAUUGCACAAUGGGCGCAAGCCUGAUGCAGCGACGCCGCGUGGGGGAUGACGGCCUUCGGGUUGUAAACUCCUUUCGCUAGGGACGAAGCUUUUUGUGACGGUACCUAGAUAAGAAGCACCGGCUAACUACGU